RNAcentral lists this ribosomal RNA (264 nucleotides) under uncultured archaeon. RNAcentral's name for it is "partial 16S ribosomal RNA". It matches the Rfam family "Archaeal small subunit ribosomal RNA", at positions 717 to 982 of the family's 1478-position model. The record is from RNAcentral.
AGACGUCUACAUUAGAUACCCCGGUAGUCCCAGCCGUAAACAAUGUGCGUUAGGUGUGUCGGUAACCACGCGUUACUGAUGCGCCGAAGAGAAAUCGUGAAACGCACCACCUGGGAAGUACGGUCGCAAGGCUGAAACUUAAAGGAAUUGGCGGGGAGCACCACAACAGGUGGAGCCUGCGGUUUAAUUGGAUUCAACGCCGGACAUCUCACCGGAUAAGACAGCUGAAUGAUUGUCAAUCUGAAGGUUUUACAUGACUAGCUG